UUUAUACUCCCUCUGCCCCAUAUUAAGUGACGAAAUAUUACAUGUAUCUAGAUGCUUUUUGGGUAUAGAUACAUCCAUAUUUGGGCAAAUUUGAGUCACUUAAUAUGGGACGGAGGGAGUAUUAU
Brachypodium distachyon (stiff brome) is the source of this 125-nucleotide non-coding RNA. NCBI's taxonomy places the organism in Eukaryota, Viridiplantae, Streptophyta, Magnoliopsida, Poales, Poaceae. The record is from Rfam.